AUUGCCUUAGUAGCGGCGAUUGAAGCGGCAAAAGCUCAAAUUUGAAAUCUGGCACCUUCGGUGUCCGAGUUGUAAUUUGAAGAUUGUAACCUUGGGGUUGGCUCUUGUCUAUGUUUCUUGGAACAGGACGUCACAGAGGGUGAGAAUCCCGUGCGAUGAGAUGCCCAAUCCUAUGUAAGGUGCUUUCGAAGAGUCGAGUUGUUUGGGAAUGCAGCUCUAAGUGGGUGGUAAAUUCCAUCUAAAGCUAAAUAUUGGCGAGAGACCGAUAGCGAACAAGUACAGUGAUGGAAAGAUGAAAAGAACUUUGAAAAGAGAGUGAAAAAGUACGUGAAAUUGUUGAAAGGGAAGGGUUUGAGAUCAGACUCGAUAUUUUGUGAGCCUUGCCUUCGUGGCGGGGUGACCCGCAGCUUAUCGGGCCAGCAUCGGUUUGGGCGGUAGGAUAAUGGCGUAGGAAUGUGACUUUGCUUCGGUGAAGUGUUAUAGCCUGCGUUGAUGCUGCCUGCCUAGACCGAGGACUGCGAUUUUAUCAAGGAUGCUGGCAUAAUGAUCCCAAACCGCCCGUCUUGAAACACGAACA
Molecule: ribosomal RNA, 577 nt
Filed under: Meyerozyma guilliermondii
Lineage: Eukaryota; Fungi; Ascomycota; Pichiomycetes; Serinales; Debaryomycetaceae
Description: eukaryotic LSU rRNA
Rfam family: Eukaryotic large subunit ribosomal RNA
Source: RNAcentral